CCCAGACUUCAAUUUUGCUUUGAUCUGUAUUUCUGUAUUUGGUCACUAAAUUCUCCCAUCAGAAAAUCAAUCAAAUUUGUACUAUAAAUACAUGUAAAUGUCCAGUUUAAAGAAAUACUCACGCUUACUUUGGUUAAUACCAUGUAGUAGUCACUGUGGCCAGAUUUACAAAAUGUUGACACUUAAUACAUUUACCAACAGAAUCUCAUUGGUAGUCAAAGUUGUUAGGUACCACCCUCCCUGUUGAAGUCACAUUUUAUUGAUUUUAUGUCCAUUUUCAAGGGUUUAUCACAUGAUUAAAUGCUGCCUUAAAGUAGUCAGUUUUAGCAAUUAGGUUCCAUACAUGCUCUUGUACAAUACAAACUGGUCAAAAAAUCAAAAAAUCAAAAAGCGUACCAUGGUCAUUGUAUAAGGAAUAAACCAUCUUUUUUCAGACCUAUUAUUCAGAAAUGACAAAAAUAUCACAAGAUCAAUAUCAAGUGUACAUAAUUAUUUGUAAUAAUAUUCUGCUUGUAUUUUGCAUCUGUACAUAUAUAUACAAUUACAAUAAAUAGAGAAAUCACAUUUAAUGAGACAGAUAUCACAGAUAAAACAAGACAAAGUUCUUUUCAAGUCACUAUAAAUUCUUUCACUAUCGGAAAAAAACUUCCUAAAAAAUGUGCAUCCUAGUAACCUCGAUAAUUCAGUUGUUAUAUUUGGCUGCUCUAUGAUGAUAACAUUAACGCCUGUAAACCUAGUCCAUGAAAUCCUCAAUAAAUUAUUUGAAAUUAGCUCCGGAUUUACCAUUGUUAACAUUAAGCGGUCAGCUUAUUGGCUUGCUCAUCUAGAGAACGUCAAUCAAAAUGCUAGAUUCAUGACACAUUCAGGCCUUUGCCAGUGGUAUUCAAUGACUGAGAGAAACUAAAUUAUUCUAGGUAGUGCCCUAAAUAAAACUUGCUGAGAAAAGUUGACUUGGGACAUUUCCUUGACCAAACUAGGUCACAGAACUUAAAAUGUCUGAUUACUUUAGUAAUGGUUAUUUCCUUAUCGUAAGACACAUUUUUUACGAUACACUUGAGCAACAUAUCUGAAGAAUGUACCUUUCAGUCAUGAAUAACAAGAAUAAUGCAAUAAAAUAAUUAAGCAAAAAUA
Molecule: long non-coding RNA, 1131 nt
Filed under: Mytilus galloprovincialis (Mediterranean mussel)
Lineage: Eukaryota; Metazoa; Mollusca; Bivalvia; Mytilida; Mytilidae
Source: RNAcentral